This 497-nucleotide ribosomal RNA is filed under the name uncultured bacterium. RNAcentral's name for it is "partial 16S ribosomal RNA". It matches the Rfam family "Bacterial small subunit ribosomal RNA", at positions 28 to 507 of the family's 1533-position model. The record is from RNAcentral.
GAUGAACGCUGGCGGCGUGCCUAAUACAUGCAAGUCGAGCGAACGGACGAGAAGCUUGUUUCUCUGAUGUUAGCGGCGGACGGGUGAGUAACACGUGGAUAACCUACCUAUAAGACUGGGAUAACUUCGGGAAACCGGAGCUAAUACCGGAUAAUAUUUUGAACCGCAUGGUUCAAAAGUGAAAGACGGUCUUGCUGUCACUUAUAGAUGGAUCCGCGCUGCAUUAGCUAGUUGGUAAGGUAACGGCUUACCAAGGCAACGAUGCAUAGCCGACCUGAGAGGGUGAUCGGCCACACUGGAACUGAGACACGGUCCAGACUCCUACGGGAGGCAGCAGUAGGGAAUCUUCCGCAAAGGGCGAAAGCCUGACGGAGCAACGCCGCGUGAGUGAUGAAGGUCUUCGGAUCGUAAAACUCUGUUAUUAGGGAAGAACAUAUGUGUAAGUAACUGUGCACAUCUUGACGGUACCUAAUCAGAAAGCCACGGCUAACUACGUG